AACGAACGCUGGCGGCGUGGUUCAGGCAUGCAAGUCGCACGAUUCCGCAAGGAAUAGUGGCAGAAGGGUUAGUAACACGUGGGUAAUCUACCCUCGAGACGGGGAUAACAUUUCGAAAGAAAUGCUAAUACCCGAUGGAAUUAUCGGAGCAUAAGUUUUGAUAAUCAAAGGUAGCUCGCAAGGGCUGUCACUUGAGGAGGAACCCGCGGCCUAUCAGCUAGUUGGUGAGGUAAUGGCUCACCAAGGCAUUUGACGGGUAGCUGGUCUAAGAGGACGGUCAGCAACAUUGGGACUGAGACACUGCCCAGACUCCUACGGGAGGCUGCAGUCGAGGAUCUUUAGCAAUGCCCGCAAGGGUGACUAUGCGACGCCGCGUGGAGGAUGAAGGCCUUCGGGUCGUAAACUCCUGUCAGGGGGGAAGAA
This 423-nucleotide ribosomal RNA is filed under the name uncultured bacterium. RNAcentral's name for it is "bacterial SSU rRNA". It matches the Rfam family "Bacterial small subunit ribosomal RNA", at positions 29 to 449 of the family's 1533-position model. The record is from RNAcentral.